GACGAACGCUGGCGGCGUGCCUAAUACAUGCAAGUCGAACGAGAGCGACCGGUGCUUGCACUGGUCAAUCUAGUGGCGAACGGGUGAGUAACACGUGGGUAACCUGCCCAUCAGAGGGGGAUAACAUCCGGAAACGGAUGCUAAAACCGCAUAGGUCUUCGAACCGCAUGAUUUGAAGAGGAAAAGAGGCGCAAGCUUCUGCUGAUGGAUGGACCCGCGGUGCAUUAGCUAGUUGGUGAGGUAACGGCUCACCAAGGCCGUGAUGCAUAGCCGACCUGAGAGGGUGAUCGGCCACAUUGGGACUGAGACACGGCCCAAACUCCUACGGGAGGCAGCAGUAGGGAAUCUUCCGCAAUGGACGCAAGUCUGACGGAGCAACGCCGCGUGAGUGAAGAAGGUUUUCGGAUCGUAAAACCCUGUUGUUAGAGAAGAACAAGUGCUAGAGUAACUGUUAGCGCCUUGACGGUAUCUAACCAGAAAGCCACGGCUAACUACGUG
RNAcentral lists this ribosomal RNA (498 nucleotides) under uncultured bacterium. RNAcentral's name for it is "partial 16S ribosomal RNA". It matches the Rfam family "Bacterial small subunit ribosomal RNA", at positions 28 to 507 of the family's 1533-position model. The record is from RNAcentral.